This 378-nucleotide unclassified non-coding RNA is filed under the name plant metagenome. RNAcentral's name for it is "partial contains 5.8S ribosomal RNA, internal transcribed spacer 2, and large subunit ribosomal RNA". The stretch from base 1 to 105 matches the Rfam family "5.8S ribosomal RNA", at positions 50 to 154 of the family's 154-position model. The record is from RNAcentral.
GAAAUGCGAUAAGUAAUGUGAAUUGCAGAAGUCAGUGAAUCAUCGAAUCUUUGAACGCACCUUGCGCUCCUUGGUAUUCCUUGGAGCAUGCCUGUUUGAGUAUCAUGAAAUCUUCAAAGUAAAUCUUUUGUUAACUCAAUUGGUUUCUACUUUGGUAUUGGAGGUCUUUGCAGCUUCACACCUGCUCCUCUUUGUUCAUUAGCUGGAUCUCAGUGUUAUGCUUGGUUCCACUCGGCGUGAUAAGUUAUCUAUCGCUGAGGACACUGUAAAAGGUGGCCAAGGUAAAUGCAGAUGAACCGCUUCUAAUAGUCCAUUGACUUGGACAAUACUUUUAUGAUCUGAUCUCAAAUCAGGUAGGACUACCCGCUGAACUUAAGC